CGCCGUCGAGGUCCGAUUCGGUCUCGGCCUCCUCUAAGGCGGCCUCCGCGCCGUCGAGGCGCUCGGAGAGCGUCUCCUCGGUCAGCGGC
RNAcentral lists this transfer RNA (89 nucleotides) under Halalkalicoccus paucihalophilus. RNAcentral describes it as "tRNA-Pyl". Lineage: Archaea; Methanobacteriati; Methanobacteriota; Halobacteria; Halobacteriales; Halalkalicoccaceae. The record is from RNAcentral.